AAUGACGAAGGGUUUGGCCCUGACCCAGAACUAACCCUGUUGGUUUGUCUUAAACAUGCAAGUCAAUCGGGAUAUAGUAAUGCAUUUGGUGGCUAACAAGCAAUUAACGUGUGAAUGGUCUACCCAUGAGAUAGGAAUAUCCACUAGAAAUAAUUUAUAGGUUUAUGUAUAAAUGGCAUAGCUCAAUUGUAGAUCUAUGUUGUCAGCUAUAUAUCUAGGGCUUAAUAGGGGAAGUUGGAAUUUUUAAUGAAAGGGUGGUAUGGUAUUUUUUGAUGUUGGGAAGGAUGUCAGAGGCGAAGGCGAACUUUUAGGGUAAGGCUGAUACUGAGUCACGAAAGCGUAGGGAGCAAAUAGGAUUAGGUAUCCCUACAUUCUGUGCUGUAAAUGAUGAAAACUUAGUUUUAACUAAAAGUUGGCACUAAGACUAAUGUGUUAAGUAUAUCUCUUGAGGGAGAGAUUCUUUCAAUAGUGAAUCUCAAAGGAAUUGACUGGAGCCUAUAUAAGCGGUGGAGCAUGUGUUUUAAUUCGACGAUAUGCGGUGAACCUUGCCGGGGUUUGGUGUGUAUAGGAUGUGGUUAGAGAUAAUUAUUCCCAGCUUGGUAGCUAUAUAUAAUUGCUAUAUGGUUAUUGUCAGUUUUGAUUGUGAGGUGUUGAGCUAGGCUUUGCGAGGAGUUCAAUCCUCAUUCUUUAUUAUCAAUGUAUAAUGGUAGAGACCUAGAUAAGACUGCAAGCGACAAGUUAGAGGAAGAUGAGAAUGUCUCCAGAUCAUCAUGGUCCUUAUGUUCUAGGCAACACCUAUUACAAUGGUCUUUGCAAAGCGGAGCUAAACAGUGAUGCGAAACAAGGUGCUUAAAGCAGGUCUUAAUUCGAACUGAAGUCUUAAGGUCUGUUUCAUAAAGUUAGAAUCGCUAGUAAUUGCGUAUUUAAAUGAUAUGGCGAAUAUGUCUUUGGGCCUUCUAUACACUGCUCGUCACACCGUCUGAGCUGAGAAUGCCUAAAACCAUUGUUCUAAUCUAUAAGAGAGUAAGGUAUUUGAGGUAUGUUUAGUGUAGGUUGAAGGCUUAACAAGGUA
Molecule: ribosomal RNA, 1072 nt
Filed under: Borreliella bavariensis PBi
Lineage: Bacteria; Pseudomonadati; Spirochaetota; Spirochaetia; Spirochaetales; Borreliaceae
Description: bacterial SSU rRNA
Rfam family: Bacterial small subunit ribosomal RNA
Source: RNAcentral